Molecule: long non-coding RNA, 220 nt
Filed under: Phoenix dactylifera (date palm)
Lineage: Eukaryota; Viridiplantae; Streptophyta; Magnoliopsida; Arecales; Arecaceae
Description: long non-coding RNA (PDAC_LNC009502)
Source: RNAcentral
UACCUAACGAAGAUUUGACUACGGUUCUAGACGCCUAAGGUAGAUGCUACGGAUUGAAGAGCACUGAAGCCUGUGUUAACUCACAACUCCGAUGACCUAAUAACGGCUCACCCUCAACCCGAAGGCUUAUGAAAAAGCACCGAAACUAGAUUCGAAAAAGGUGGCGUGCGAGACCCUACCCAAAGAGGUCCAAACCGAGCAGUCAAAAAUGAGAGUCCAU